AGUGAACGCUGGCGGCAGGCCUAAUACAUGCAAGUCGAACGGCAGCACAGUGGAGCUUGCUCCAUGGGUGGCGAGUGGCGGACGGGUGAGGAAUACAUGGGAAUCUGCCCAGUCGUGGGGGAUAACGUAUGGAAACGUACGCUAAUACCGCAUGCGCCCUUCGGGGAAAGCCGGGGACCUUCGGGCCUGGCGCGAUUGGAUGAGCCCAUGUCGGAUUAGCUAGUUGGCGGGGUAAUGGCCCACCAAGGCGACGAUCCGUAGCUGGUCUGAGAGGAUGAUCAGCCACACUGGAACUGAGACACGGUCCAGACUCCUACGGGAGGCAGCAGUAGGGAAUAUUGGACAAUGGGCGCAAGCCUGAUCCAGCCAUGCCGCGUGGAGGAAGAAGUCCUUCGGGAUGUAAACUUCUGAACUAGCCGAAUAAAAGGCCUGUGGACACACAGGAGAAGAAAGUAGGCUAGGAAAAGUCCCGGCUAACUACGUG
This 484-nucleotide ribosomal RNA is filed under the name uncultured bacterium. Its description in RNAcentral is "bacterial SSU rRNA". It matches the Rfam family "Bacterial small subunit ribosomal RNA", at positions 29 to 507 of the family's 1533-position model. The record is from RNAcentral.